UGGCUCAGAUGGUAAAGCAUCUGCCUACAAUGCGGGAGACCCAGGUUCAAUCCCUGG
This is a non-coding RNA of Bos taurus (domestic cattle), 57 nucleotides long. Lineage: Eukaryota; Metazoa; Chordata; Mammalia; Artiodactyla; Bovidae. The record is from Rfam.